RNAcentral lists this ribosomal RNA (420 nucleotides) under Wolbachia endosymbiont of Afrocimex constrictus. RNAcentral's name for it is "bacterial SSU rRNA". It matches the Rfam family "Bacterial small subunit ribosomal RNA", at positions 1000 to 1418 of the family's 1533-position model. Lineage: Bacteria; Pseudomonadati; Pseudomonadota; Alphaproteobacteria; Rickettsiales; Anaplasmataceae. The record is from RNAcentral.
UUCGAAGGGAUAGGGUCGGUUCGGCCGGGUUUCACACAGGUGUUGCAUGGCUGUCGUCAGCUCGUGUCGUGAGAUGUUGGGUUAAGUCCCGCAACGAGCGCAACCCUCAUCCUUAGUUACCAUCAGGUAAUGCUGGGGACUUUAAGGAAACUGCCAGUGAUAAACUGGAGGAAGGUGGGGAUGAUGUCAAGUCAUCAUGGCCCUUAUGGAGUGGGCUACACACGUGCUACAAUGGUGGCUACAAUGGGCUGCAAAGUCGCGAGGCUAAGCUAAUCCCUUAAAAGCCAUCUCAGUUCGGAUUGUACUCUGCAACUCGAGUGCAUGAAGUUGGAAUCGCUAGUAAUCGUGGAUCAGCACGCCACGGUGAAUACGUUCUCGGGUCUUGUACACACUGCCCGUCACGCCAUGGGAAUUGGUUUC